CGCGUAGGCGGCGCACUUAGUCAGGCGUGAAAGUCCUGGGCUCAACCUGGGGACGGCGCUUGAUACGGGUGUGCUUGAGUAUGAAAGAGGGUCGUGGAAUUCCCAGUGUAGAGGUGAAAUUCGUAGAUAUUGGGAAGAACACCGGUGGCGAAGGCGGCGACCUGGUUCAUGACUGACGCUGAGGCGCGAAAGCGUGGGGAGCAAACA
RNAcentral lists this ribosomal RNA (207 nucleotides) under uncultured Acetobacteraceae bacterium. Its description in RNAcentral is "partial 16S ribosomal RNA". It matches the Rfam family "Bacterial small subunit ribosomal RNA", at positions 568 to 774 of the family's 1533-position model. Lineage: Bacteria; Pseudomonadati; Pseudomonadota; Alphaproteobacteria; Acetobacterales; Acetobacteraceae. The record is from RNAcentral.